Molecule: ribosomal RNA, 301 nt
Filed under: unidentified
Description: Stasimopus astutus partial large subunit ribosomal RNA
Source: RNAcentral
CUGUUAUCCCCACGGUAACUUGUUUGUUUCCUUUUUAGGGUUGUAUAAGUAAAAUGAUAAAGAAAAGAUUUGGUUUUUUACCGCCCCAGUUGAAAAGUUAAUUGAAGUUCGACGGGGUCUUGUCGUCUUCUCUAUAAAUUUAAGUCUUUUUACUUAAAUGAAAAUUUUAAGAGAUCAUUAUAAUAAAGAAUUUAACUCGUUGAUCCUUUCGUCCUAUCCUUUAAUUAAAAGGCGAGUGAUUAUGCUACCUUAGCACGAAAUUGCGGCUAUUUAAAAGUCAUUGAGCAGGACAUACUAAUUA